CCUACGGGAGGCUGCAGUAGGGAAUCUUCCACAAUGGGCGAAAGCCUGAUGGAGCAACGCCGCGUGGGUGAAGAAGGUCUUCGGAUCGUAAACCCUGUUGGUAGAGAAGAAAGUGCGGGAGAGUAACUGGUCACGUUUCGACGGUAUCUAACCAGAAAGCCACGGCUAACUCCGUGCCAGCAGCCGCGGUAAUACGUAGGUGGCAAGCGUUAUCGGAUUUAUUGGGCGUAAAGGGAACGCAGGCGGUCUUUUAUGUCUGAUGUGAAAGCCUUCGGCUUAACGGGAGUAGUGUAUUGGAAUCUGGGAGACUUGAGUGCAGAAGAGGAGAGUGGAACUCCAUGUGUAGCGGUGAAAUGCGUAGAUAUAUGGAAGAACACCAGUGGCGAAAGCGGCUCUCUGGUCUGUAACUGACGCUGAGGUUCGAAAGCGUGGGUAGCAAACAGGAUUAGAUACCCGAGUAGUC
Molecule: ribosomal RNA, 463 nt
Filed under: uncultured bacterium
Lineage: Bacteria
Description: partial 16S ribosomal RNA
Rfam family: Bacterial small subunit ribosomal RNA
Source: RNAcentral